Molecule: ribosomal RNA, 293 nt
Filed under: uncultured bacterium
Lineage: Bacteria
Description: partial 16S ribosomal RNA
Rfam family: Bacterial small subunit ribosomal RNA
Source: RNAcentral
GUGCCAGCAGCCGCGGUAAUACGGAGGGUGCAAGCGUUAAUCGGAUUUAUUGGGCGUAAAGGGGGCGUAGGCGGGAAGGAAAGUCAAUUCGUGAAAGCCCGGGGCUCAACCUCGGAACUGCGUUUGAAACUUCCUUUCUUGAGGGUAGGCGGAGAAAACAGAAUUCCACAAGUAGCGGUGAAAUGCGUAGAUAUGUGGAAGAAUACCGGUGGCGAAAGCGGUUUUCUAGCUUAUUCCUGACGCUGAGGCCCGAAAGCUAGGGGAGCAAACAGGAUUAGAUACCCUGGUAGUCC